CGGCUGAACUGGUACUUGGAGGAANGAGGGGUCGACUUUGCAAAUGGAUGAGUGAUCGUUAGAAUAUCCUUAGUCCCCUGGUAUUCUUGACACAUGAGGUAUAUACUUCUAGUCCAUAUUGGGGGGAGACUCCACGUCGAUUUAUCGAGUAAAAUUCUGUAUACAUAUUGAUAAUGACAAUAUGUACAUUUGUCUUGACUAAUUACGUGCCAGCAGUCGCGGCAAUACGUAAGAGACUAGUGUUAAUCAUCAUAAAUAGGUUUAAAGGGUACUCAGACGGAAAAAUUCGCCCAAAUAUAGGGGACAAUUUUUCUAGAGUUUUAUGUAAGAAGGUCGUACUCUAGAGUGGAGAGAUAAAAUUCUGUGAUACAUAGGGGACGGGUUACGGCGAAGGCAAUCUUUUAUGUAAAUACUGACGUCGAAGGACGAAGGCAAAGGGAACAAAAAGGAUUAGAUACCCCAGUAGUCUUUGCAGACAAAGAUGAAUGCCAUAGGUUAGAUUUUUAAUUUAGCCUAUAAAUGAAAGUGUAAGCAUUUCACCUCAAGAGUAAGGCGGCAACGCAGGAACUGAAAUCACUAGACCGUUUCUGACACCAGCAAUGAAGUAUGUUAUUUAAUUCGGUGGCCCACGAAAAACCUUACCACAAUUUGAAUAUUAAUAAUAAUGAUAUUAUUUUUUAUGCUUGAUAUGGCAGGCACAUUUCCCCCUCCCCGCUGUUUGCGGCGGGGGGGGAGAAAAAGAAAAAUAAUGGAUAAUAUAGUAAAUACCAUAUUCCAACUAUAUUUAAUUAUUAAUACAAGUGUUGCACGGCUGUCUUCAGUUGAUGUUGCGAAACUGUGGUUCGUUCCAUGGAAUUAACGUAAACCCUUGCUUUAUUUGGUAAAUAUUAUAAAGCAGUUCACCUUUAUAUAGGCAAUGAUCAAAGGGAUCAAGACAAGUCAUCAUGGCC
This 950-nucleotide ribosomal RNA is filed under the name Sordaria macrospora. RNAcentral's name for it is "mitochondrial SSU rRNA". It matches the Rfam family "Bacterial small subunit ribosomal RNA", at positions 1 to 1200 of the family's 1533-position model. The record is from RNAcentral. Lineage: Eukaryota; Fungi; Ascomycota; Sordariomycetes; Sordariales; Sordariaceae.